GAAGUUUCUGAACUCUGCUGGUGUGCUAGGCUGUAUUGAGGUUGCCCUUCUAUGAGAGAGGAUUAAGAAAUCUGCAUUGAGAUUGCAGCCCAAGAUGGCAGAGGAGUAAGAGACCUUACUUUUCUCUGGUUGCAGGAAUUCAGCUACAUAGCCAUCAAAUCAUUCCGAACACCUGCGAAAUCAAGGGGAGAUCAUAGAAAAGAACACCUGCAACUCUACAAACAGAAAAGUGACAAUGUUCUGCCAGUAAGCUGCCAUGCUGGAGAAGCCCACUUGAUAAGGAACCAGCCAGCUCCAGCCAAGAGCCAGCAAGGUUCUGAAGAUCUCAUUCCAACAGACUUUGAGGAACUGCAUCCUGCCAGCAACUAUGUGAAUGAGUACGGAGAUUGGUCCUUCCCCAGUCAAGCCUCCAGGUGAGAAUGUAGUAGCCCCACAAAAGCCAUGAGAUAAUAAGUAUAUACUUUUUAACCCACUAAAUUUUGGAAUAUCCAUUACACAGCAAUAGAUAGUUAAUGCACCACCCCUCAAUUACUAUAACCUUGGGGUAAAAUGUUGCAUGUCCGGGAAGGCGGGCACCAUAUAGGAAGACAA
Molecule: long non-coding RNA, 591 nt
Organism: Mustela erminea (ermine)
Lineage: Eukaryota; Metazoa; Chordata; Mammalia; Carnivora; Mustelidae
Exons: 3
Source: RefSeq, a predicted model, not a curated record